This 2377-nucleotide ribosomal RNA is filed under the name Salmonella enterica subsp. enterica serovar Enteritidis. RNAcentral's name for it is "partial 23S ribosomal RNA". It matches the Rfam family "Bacterial large subunit ribosomal RNA". Lineage: Bacteria; Pseudomonadati; Pseudomonadota; Gammaproteobacteria; Enterobacterales; Enterobacteriaceae. The record is from RNAcentral.
CCACCACCAAAGCAUUUGCUGUACCGCGUUGACGGAGCGAAGCGACGUCAAACCGAUAAAACAGCAGUGUAAAGUGAGCCGCAGGGCGCUUUGCGCGACAGCGCAAAGGCAGGCGGUUUCGCGUAGCGAAAGCGAAUGCUUUGGGGUGGGGUGACUGCGUACCUUUUGUAUAAUGGGUCAGCGACUUAUAUUCUGUAGCAAGGUUAACCGAAUAGGGGAGCCGGAGGGAAACCGAGUCUUAAUUGGGCGUUAAGUUGCAGGGUAUAGACCCGAAACCCGGUGAUCUAGCCAUGGGCAGGUUGAAGGUUGGGUAACACUAACUGGAGGACCGAACCGACUAAUGUUGAAAAAUUAGCGGAUGACCUGUGGCUGGGGGUGAAAGGCCAAUCAAACCGGGAGAUAGCUGGUUCUCCCCGAAAGCUAUUUAGGUAGCGCCUCGUGAAUUCAUCUCCGGGGGUAGAGCACUGUUUCGGCUAGGGGGCCAUCCCGGCUUACCAACCCGAUGCAAACUGCGAAUACCGGAGAAUGUUAUCACGGGAGACACACGGCGGGUGCUAACGUCCGUCGUGAAGAGGGAAACAACCCAGACCGCCAGCUAAGGUCCCAAAGUCAUGGUUAAGUGGGAAACGAUGUGGGAAGGCCCAGACAGCCAGGAUGUUGGCUUAGAAGCAGCCAUCAUUUAAAGAAAGCGUAAUAGCUCACUGGUCGAGUCGGCCUGCGCGGAAGAUGUAACGGGGCUAAACCAUGCACCGAAGCUGCGGCAGCGACGCUUAUGCGUUGUUGGGUAGGGGAGCGUUCUGUAAGCCUGCGAAGGUGGCCUGUGAGGGUUGCUGGAGGUAUCAGAAGUGCGAAUGCUGACAUAAGUAACGAUAAAGCGGGUGAAAAGCCCGCUCGCCGGAAGACCAAGGGUUCCUGUCCAACGUUAAUCGGGGCAGGGUGAGUCGACCCCUAAGGCGAGGCCGAAAGGCGUAGUCGAUGGGAAACGGGUUAAUAUUCCCGUACUUGGUGUUACUGCGAAGGGGGGACGGAGAAGGCUAUGUUGGCCGGGCGACGGUUGUCCCGGUUUAAGCGUGUAGGUGUGUGUUCCAGGUAAAUCCGGUUCACUUUAACACUGAGGCGUGACGACGAGGCACUACGGUGCUGAAGCAACAAAUGCCCUGCUUCCAGGAAAAGCCUCUAAGCAUCAGGUAACAUCAAAUCGUACCCCAAACCGACACAGGUGGUCAGGUAGAGAAUACCAAGGCGCUUGAGAGAACUCGGGUGAAGGAACUAGGCAAAAUGGUGCCGUAACUUCGGGAGAAGGCACGCUGACACGUAGGUGAAGUGAUUUACUCAUGGAGCUGAAGUCAGUCGAAGAUACCAGCUGGCUGCAACUGUUUAUUAAAAACACAGCACUGUGCAAACACGAAAGUGGACGUAUACGGUGUGACGCCUGCCCGGUGCCGGAAGGUUAAUUGAUGGGGUCAGCGCAAGCGAAGCUCCUGAUCGAAGCCCCGGUAAACGGCGGCCGUAACUAUAACGGUCCUAAGGUAGCGAAAUUCCUUGUCGGGUAAGUUCCGACCUGCACGAAUGGCGUAAUGAUGGCCAGGCUGUCUCCACCCGAGACUCAGUGAAAUUGAACUCGCUGUGAAGAUGCAGUGUACCCGCGGCAAGACGGAAAGACCCCGUGAACCUUUACUAUAGCUUGACACUGAACAUUGAGCCUUGAUGUGUAGGAUAGGUGGGAGGCUUUGAAGUGUGGACGCCAGUCUGCAUGGAGCCGACCUUGAAAUACCACCCUUUAAUGUUUGAUGUUCUAACGUGGACCCGUUACCCGGGUUGCGGACAGUGUCUGGUGGGUAGUUUGACUGGGGCGGUCUCCUCCUAAAGAGUAACGGAGGAGCACGAAGGUUGGCUAAUCCUGGUCGGACAUCAGGAGGUUAGUGCAAUGGCAUAAGCCAGCUUGACUGCGAGCGUGACGGCGCGAGCAGGUGCGAAAGCAGGUCAUAGUGAUCCGGUGGUUCUGAAUGGAAGGGCCAUCGCUCAACGGAUAAAAGGUACUCCGGGGAUAACAGGCUGAUACCGCCCAAGAGUUCAUAUCGACGGCGGUGUUUGGCACCUCGAUGUCGGCUCAUCACAUCCUGGGGCUGAAGUAGGUCCCAAGGGUAUGGCUGUUCGCCAUUUAAAGUGGUACGCGAGCUGGGUUUAGAACGUCGUGAGACAGUUCGGUCCCUAUCUGCCGUGGGCGCUGGAGAACUGAGGGGGGCUGCUCCUAGUACGAGAGGACCGGAGUGGACGCAUCACUGGUGUUCGGGUUGUCAUGCCAAUGGCACUGCCCGGUAGCUAAAUGCGGAAGAGAUAAGUGCUGAAAGCAUCUAAGCACGAAACUUGCCCCGAG